GAUGAACGCUAGCUACAGGCUUAACACAUGCAAGUCGAGGGGAAACGAUAUUGGAAGCUUGCUUCUGAUAGGCGUCGACCGGCGCACGGGUGAGUAACGCGUAUCCAACCUGCCCAUCACUUGGGGAUAACCUUGUGAAAGUAAGACUAAUACCCAAUGACGUCUCUAGAAGACAUCUGAAAGAGAUUAAAGAUUUAUCGGUGAUGGAUGGGGAUGCGUCUGAUUAGCUUGUUGGCGGGGUAACGGCCCACCAAGGCGACGAUCAGUAGGGGUUCUGAGAGGAAGGUCCCCCACAUUGGAACUGAGACACGGUCCAAAACUCCUACGGGAGGCAGCAGUGAGGAAUAUUGGUCAAUGGGACGAGAGUCUGAACCAGCCAAGUAGCGUGCAGGAUGACGGCCCUAUGGGUUGUAAACUGCUUUUAUAAGGGAAUAAAGCGAGUCUCGUGAGGCUUUUUGCAUGUACCUUAUGAAUAAGGACCGGCUAAAUUCCGUGCCAG
Molecule: ribosomal RNA, 499 nt
Filed under: uncultured bacterium
Lineage: Bacteria
Description: bacterial SSU rRNA
Rfam family: Bacterial small subunit ribosomal RNA
Source: RNAcentral